ACUCAAAGGAAUUGACGGGGGCCCGCACAAGCGGUGGAGCAUGUGGUUUAAUUCGACGCAACGCGAAGAACCUUACCAGGGCUUGACAUCCCGCGAAUCCUGCCGAAAGGCAGGAGUGCCCGCAAGGGAGCGCGGAGACAGGUGGUGCAUGGCUGUCGUCAGCUCGUGUCGUGAGAUGUUGGGUUAAGUCCCGCAACGAGCGCAACCCUCACCCCUUGUUGCCAUCAGGUCACGCUGGGCACUCUAGGGGAACUGCCCCGGUCAACGGGGAGGAAGGUGGGGACGACGUCAAGUCAUCAUGCCCCUUACGUCCUGGGCUACACACGUGCUACAAUGGCCGGUACAAAGGGAUGCAAGACCGUGAGGUGGAGCUAAACCCAAAAAGCCGGUCUAAGUUCAGAUUGGAGUCUGCAACUCGACUCCAUGAAGGAGGAAUCGCUAGUAAUCGCGCAUCAGCACGGCGCGGUGAAUACGUUCCCGGGCCUUGUACACACCGCCCGU
Molecule: ribosomal RNA, 501 nt
Filed under: uncultured bacterium
Lineage: Bacteria
Description: partial 16S ribosomal RNA
Rfam family: Bacterial small subunit ribosomal RNA
Source: RNAcentral